RNAcentral lists this ribosomal RNA (460 nucleotides) under uncultured bacterium. RNAcentral describes it as "partial 16S ribosomal RNA". It matches the Rfam family "Bacterial small subunit ribosomal RNA", at positions 338 to 795 of the family's 1533-position model. The record is from RNAcentral.
CCUACGGGUGACAGCAGUGAGGAAUAUUGGUCAAUGGACGAGAGUCUGAACCAGCCAAGUAGCGUGAAGGAUGACUGCCCUAUGGGUUGUAAACUUCUUUUAUAUGGGAAUAAAACGUUCCACGUGUGGGAUUUUGUAUGUACCAUAUGAAUAAGGAUCGGCUAACUCCGUGCCAGCAGCAGCGGUAAUACGGAGGAUCCGAGCGUUAUCCGGAUUUAUUGGGUUUAAAGGGAGCGUAGGUGGAUUGUUAAGUCAGUUGUGAAAGUUUGCGGCUCAACCGUAAAAUUGCAGUUGAAACUGGCAGUCUUGAGUACAGUAGAGGUGGGCGGAAUUCGUGGUGUAGCGGUGAAAUGCUUAGAUAUCACGAAGAACUCCGAUUGCGAAGGCAGUUCACUGGACUGCAACUGACACUGAGGCUCGAAAGUGUGGGUAUCAAACAGGAUUAGAUACCCGUGUAGUC